This 327-nucleotide ribosomal RNA is filed under the name uncultured eukaryote. RNAcentral's name for it is "partial 18S ribosomal RNA". It matches the Rfam family "Eukaryotic small subunit ribosomal RNA", at positions 1470 to 1796 of the family's 1831-position model. The record is from RNAcentral.
CCCUUAGAUGUUCUGGGCCGCACACGCGCUACACUGAAGGAGGCAGCAUGUACUCCUGGAUCGAAAGAUUUGGGUAACCCGCGAAUCUCCUUCGUGCUAGGGAUUGAGGUUUGCAAUUAUCCUUCAUGAACGAGGAAUUCCCAGUAAGUGCAAGUCAUAAGCUUGCGCUGACUACGUCCCUGCCCUUUGUACACACCGCCCGUCGCUACUACCGAUUGAAUGAUUUAGUGAGGACUUCGGACUGGGACCGAUGCGGCUUUCGGGCUGCGUCGGUAUUCUGGAAAGAUGUCCAAACUGUAUCAUUUAGAGGAAGUAAAANUCGUANCA